This 400-nucleotide unclassified non-coding RNA is filed under the name fungal sp. Its description in RNAcentral is "partial internal transcribed spacer region". The stretch from base 1 to 46 matches the Rfam family "Eukaryotic small subunit ribosomal RNA", at positions 1786 to 1831 of the family's 1831-position model. Lineage: Eukaryota; Fungi. The record is from RNAcentral.
AAGUCGUAACAAGGUUUCCGUAGGUGAACCUGCGGAAGGAUCAUUAACACGUUAUCCACGUAUUAUAAACCGUACUAUGCAUUGUGCUCCCUGCUAUAGAAGACCGCGCGGCUAUUACUUAUCUGUGUCAGAGUGGAGUUCACGCAAGUGAGCAUAACAGAUACUUAGUCGUCUGACCGCAUGCGGAGUCAGAAGUCGCCCCACUUUCUAUCAGGCUUAUUGCGUCCCUGCUCGUGUGAAAACGUUCCCUACCACUUAGGGCAGCGAGGGAGCACCAUACCAGUUUAACCCUAUUUUACCCAAUUUUGACUAAUUACUACAUUCUUGGACGAAAGUUCUCGAAUUACUAAGAUUUUAUCUUAACUAAGCACAACUCUUAGCAAUGGAUAUCUUGGUUCUC